CAAUAGCGUAUAUUAAAGUUGUUGCAGUUAAAAAGCUCGUAGUUGAAUUUCGGGUCCCCGCGCUCGGCGCUUCAUUGUGCCGUCGUGGUGUCCCUCCUCGCCGUAAGGCGUCCUUUACUGUGAAAAAAUUAGAGUGUUCAAAGCAGGCAAUCGCUUGAAUACAUUAGCAUGGAAUAAUAAGAUAGGAUCUUGUCUAUUUUGUUGGUUGCGGACAACGAUAAUGAUUAAUAGGGAUAGUUGGGGGUGUCCGUAUUGAGCUGUCAGAGGUGAAAUUCUUGGAUUUGCUCAAGACGAACUACUGCGAAAGCAUUCACCAAGGAUGUUUUCAUUAG
Molecule: ribosomal RNA, 332 nt
Filed under: uncultured eukaryote
Lineage: Eukaryota
Description: partial 18S ribosomal RNA
Rfam family: Eukaryotic small subunit ribosomal RNA
Source: RNAcentral